GGCGGUGUAGCUCAGUUGGUUAGAGCGCAGGACUCAUAAGCCUGAGGUCAGUGGUUCAAUUCCACUCACCGCUACCA
This 77-nucleotide transfer RNA is filed under the name Candidatus Woesebacteria bacterium. Its description in RNAcentral is "tRNA-Met". It matches the Rfam family "tRNA". From Rfam's summary of the family: Transfer RNA (tRNA) molecules are approximately 80 nucleotides in length. Lineage: Bacteria; Candidatus Woeseibacteriota. RNAcentral also lists the same sequence under 1 other name. The record is from RNAcentral.